GGUGAUCAUAGUGGGAGGGCCACACGCGUUCCCAUUCCGAACACGACCGUUAAGCCUUCCACGCCGAUGGUAUUUGCUCGGAGAGGGCUGAGAGAGUAGGUAGUUGCC
This 108-nucleotide ribosomal RNA is filed under the name Planctomycetes bacterium ADurb.Bin069. The record is from RNAcentral. Lineage: Bacteria; Pseudomonadati; Planctomycetota.